UGAGCCUACGGGGGGCAGCAGUGGGGAAUAUUGCACAAUGGGGGAAACCCUGAUGCAGCAACGCCGCGUGAGUGAAGAAGUAUUUCGGUAUGUAAAGCUCUAUCAGCAGGGAAGAGAAUGACGGUACCUGACUAAGAAGCCCCGGCUAACUACGUGCCAGCAGCCGCGGUAAUACGUAGGGAGCAAGCGUUAUCCGGAUUUAUUGGGUGUAAAGGGUGCGUAGACGGGAAAACAAGUUAGUUGUGAAAUCCCUCGGCUUAACUGAGGAACUGCAACUAAAACUAUUUUUCUUGAGUGUUGGAGAG
RNAcentral lists this ribosomal RNA (305 nucleotides) under uncultured bacterium. RNAcentral's name for it is "bacterial SSU rRNA". It matches the Rfam family "Bacterial small subunit ribosomal RNA", at positions 334 to 656 of the family's 1533-position model. The record is from RNAcentral.